AGUCGAGCGGAGAGAGGUAGCUUGCUACUGAUCUUAGCGGCGGACGGGUGAGUAAUGCUUAGGAAUCUGCCUAUUAGUGGGGGACAACAUUUCGAAAGGAAUGCUAAUACCGCAUACGUCCUACGGGAGAAAGCAGGGGAUCUUCGGACCUUGCGCUAAUAGAUGAGCCUAAGUCGGAUUAGCUAGUUGGUGGGGUAAAGGCCUACCAAGGCGACGAUCUGUAGCGGGUCUGAGAGGAUGAUCCGCCACACUGGGACUGAGACACGGCCCAGACUCCUACGGGAGGCAGCAGUGGGGAAUAUUGGACAAUGGGCGGAAGCCUGAUCCAGCCAUGCCGCGUGUGUGAAGAAGGCCUUAUGGUUGUAAAGCACUUUAAGCGAGGAGGAGGCUACUUUAGUUAAUACCUAGAGAUAGUGGACGUUACUCGCAGAAUAAGCACCGGCUAACUCUGUGCCAGCAGCCGCGGUAAUACAGAGGGUGCAAGCGUUAAUCGGAUUUACUGGGCGUAAAGCGCGCGUAGGCGGCUAAUUAAGUCAAAUGUGAAAUCCCCGAGCUUAACUUGGGAAUUGCAUUCGAUACUGGUUAGCUAGAGUGUGGGAGAGGAUGGUAGAAUUCCAGGUGUAGCGGUGAAAUGCGUAGAGAUCUGGAGGAAUACCGAUGGCGAAGGCAGCCAUCUGGCCUAACACUGACGCUGAGGUGCGAAAGCAUGGGGAGCAAACAGGAUUAGAUACCCUGGUAGUCCAUGCCGUAAACGAUGUCUACUAGCCGUUGGGCCCUUAGAUGCUUUAGUGUCGCAGCUAACGCGAUAAGUAGACCGCCUGGGGAGUACGGUCGCAAGACUAAAACUCAAAUGAAUUGACGGGGGCCCGCACAAGCGGUGGAGCAUGUGGUUUAAUUUGAUGCAACGCGAAGAACCUUACCUGGCCUUGACAUAGUAAGAACUUUCCAGAGAUGGAUUGGUGCCUUCGGGAACUUACAUACAGGUGCUGCAUGGCUGUCGUCAGCUUGUUUCGUGAGAUGUUGGGUUAAGUCCCGCAACGAGCGCAACCCUUUUCCUUAUUGGCCAGCGAGUAAUGUCGGGAACUUUAAGGAUUUUCCCAGUGACAAAUUGGAGGAAGGUGGGGACGACGUCAAGUCAUCAUGGCCCUUACGCCCAGGGCUACACACGUGCUACAAUGGUCGGUACAAAGGGUUGCUACCCAGCGAUAGGAUGAUAAUCUCAAAAAUCCGAUCGUAGUCCGGAUUGGAGUGAUCAACUGGACUCCAUGAAGUCGGAAUCGCUAGUAAUCCAGGAUCAGAAUGCCGCGUUGAAUACGUUCCCGGGCCUUCACACACCGCCCGUCACACCAUGGGAGUUUGUUGCACCACAAGUAGCUA
RNAcentral lists this ribosomal RNA (1377 nucleotides) under Acinetobacter sp. I_58-G7P2A3B. RNAcentral describes it as "bacterial SSU rRNA". It matches the Rfam family "Bacterial small subunit ribosomal RNA", at positions 60 to 1432 of the family's 1533-position model. The record is from RNAcentral. Lineage: Bacteria; Pseudomonadati; Pseudomonadota; Gammaproteobacteria; Moraxellales; Moraxellaceae.